GAACCUCACCCAGCCAAGACAUGAAAAGGAUUGACAGAUUGAUAGCUUUUUCUUGAUUCUGUGGGUGGUGGUGCAUGGCUGUUCUUAGUUGGUGGAGCAAUGUCUGGUUAAUUCCAAUAAUGAACAAGACUCUGGCAUGCUAACUAGUUUUAUGACCCCCGAGUGCCAAGAACUUUUUUCCAACUACUCAGUUGGUCUAAUAAAAGAUAUCACAUCUACCCAAGGAACCUUGCCUGCCUAGGUUUUAACCUAGAUUUCCUAGCACAAUGCUCUAAACACCAGGUGAUACUUUAUUGGCCAGC
This 302-nucleotide non-coding RNA is filed under the name Alligator mississippiensis (American alligator). RNAcentral describes it as "Eukaryotic small subunit ribosomal RNA". It matches the Rfam family "Eukaryotic small subunit ribosomal RNA", at positions 1210 to 1396 of the family's 1831-position model. The record is from Rfam by way of RNAcentral. Lineage: Eukaryota; Metazoa; Chordata; Crocodylia; Alligatoridae.